Molecule: transfer RNA, 69 nt
Filed under: Crystallogobius linearis (crystal goby)
Lineage: Eukaryota; Metazoa; Chordata; Actinopteri; Gobiiformes; Gobiidae
Description: tRNA-Glu
Rfam family: tRNA
About the family: Transfer RNA (tRNA) molecules are approximately 80 nucleotides in length. Their secondary structure includes four short double-helical elements and three loops (D, anti-codon, and T loops).
Source: RNAcentral
UUUUCUAUAGUUGAAUAACAACGGUGGUUUUUCAAGCCAUUAGUCUUGGUUAGAUUCCGGGUAGAAAUA